AUCUCUGCAAAAGAAUAGAGGGCGUAGAAAGUGUUAAAAUGGUUUUACUAUUCUGAAUAGACACAGUUUCUUUCCCUAUAAGUCCAUAUUGAUGUAUGUGGUUAUCCAUGUCUGGGAAACAGUUAAAAAAAUUUCUGCUUUUUCUUGGUAAAUGUUUUGGUAGAGGAUGUGUGGGCAGAACUUGCUUAGAUUAUUAUUUUAAAAAGAAGCAUUUUCCUGGCUCCUAUGCUCUAUGUAACACUUCAUAUAAUCACAGAAUCUUAGAAUGAUUUGAGUUGAAAGAGAUUUUAAAGAUCUUCCAGUUCCAACCCAGCUGGUAUGGGUAGGGUUGGUAUUGACUAGAUCAAGUUGUCAACAGUCACGUCCAGCCUGGCUUUGAAUGUCUCCAGGGAUGGGGCGUUCAACAACUCUGAGCAACCUGUUUCAGUUCCUCACCAACCUCUGAGUAAAAAGCAUAUUGUCCUAUCAUUGAAUCAUCACAGAAUGGUUUGGGUUGGAGGGGACAUUUAUGAUCACCUAGUUCUUACAUCUAACAAACAUAAAUAUCCCUCUUUUAGAUUUGAAAAUAUUCACCCGUGCCCUAUGGCUAUCAGAACAUGCAAAGAGAAUUUACUUUAAAAAAAAAAUAAAAUCCAGAAUUACUUUUUAUGUACUGAAAUACUGCAGAGAGGCCUUCCUGGUACCUUCUCUUCUUCAGACCAAACAAACUCUGCUCCCUCAGCCCUUCUUCAUAGCAGAGGUAUUCCAAUCUUCUAAUCAUCUUCGUGGUGAUCAUUAUAUGGAAUCAUUAUAUCCAGUUUCUCAAAGGUGUGUCCAAGAUCACACAACCAGCAUCCCUGAGCAUGAUACCAGCUUUGCAUCCAGUAAUUCACUUGAUCCAUUUAUCUUCUCCUCGAGCUGGGAGAACAGAGGAUAACACUACCUAUGCUCUCAAUCCUUUCAGCAUUUUUCUGAGGGACAUAAAGUCUCAUUCUUUUGCUAUUUUGGAUUCUUCUCAUCACAGCCUCAUUUGACCCUACUUGAAAAAAAUAGGAGUGAGUUGUAGUUCUCUGGCUUUACCAGGUACCAUAGCCUCUUUGUGAUAUUGUGAAUCCAGGCCUUCAGCAGACAGCAAAAAUGGAGAGUGUCUGGACAGGGAUGCUUCAGUGUCUCUUAGGAAUCUCCAAUUACUAACACCCACUGCACUUUUUUGGUGGCACUGAUUCUAAUAGAGGUAGUUGAUUGGACCAGCUUUAUGCAGUUGCCCUUUCCUGGGUCUUGAUCAUUACUUAUGUAAUGUACUUUUCCUUUUUCAGCCUGAGUCUUGUACCUGUUGUGUAGAGGCACAUCAGGGGCAAGAGGGAAACAUCUCCUUGUCCAGUCUCCCUUGUCUUGUGUGUCAGCGCAGUUCACCACCUCAGAUUCCUGGUUACUACACUGCCUGGUGAUUUCUUCAUGCAACCUGCUCUAAAGAGUUCAUCCAGGUGGACACAUUUACACCCACGACACCCGCCUCUGCCCUCAAGCUCUGGGGAGAUGUCCAGAAUCUGCAGUUCUUUGAAAAUGAAGGUCUGGGCAGCUCUUUCAGCCCUUUGGAGGCCUGUUUAGAUAUGUAGGUCUGCAUGGGAAGGUUGUGGCCCCUCCAUUUGGACUUCAGCUGAUUGCCUCAGCAAGUGACUGUUAAUGGUGGUUAUGCUGUGUUUAAAUUUACUGUUUCUGUUCCUGAUCUUGCCCAUGCCUCGUCAGCCACUUUCACAAAGUCUGGUGGCUCUCUCCACUUCCCCAGAGUCUCUUCAAUUGCAGGAACAAUCCCACAUGCCUUGAUCCUCUGGUCCACUGCAGAACAUGCCUACAUCUGAGCAAGCUGUAUAUACUUAGUAUAUAGUGUAGCUAGUUCUACACAAGUGCCUGUAAGCGAUUACUGCUUGUGUCAGGUGUCAUGAACUUCCGGAUAUAACAGAUUAUAUAUAUACAACGGUAUGGAAGAUAAUCAGAAGUCCUAAUAAAGAUGCAAAACAGAGUAGCUAAUUUGCCCUAGAUUCUUUUUCCUGUUUUAUGCAUAUAUAUUCUCCAUAUAGCUCUUACUCUAUCACUUUCUGCAUCAUAUAUUACGCUCUCUGCUUCUGUACUUACUCCAGAGUCAUGCGUGAUACGACAUCAAAUGUAGUCAGACCAGCCUGGUCAAAAUUCUCCUUGUAACGACCCAUCUUGAUGGCAUCCAACCACUCGUGUGCAUUGCUGAGUGAAGGAAAAUCUGGAGGGGAGUUGCUCAGGAGAGGCUGAGAUGGUCUGCAAAAGAGUCAGCUUCUAAAAUUUCCUGUUAUCAACAUCAGGUGACCAUGAUAAGGUCAGAGUUACAAGAGAGAGAGAACAGCACAGACAAAACAAUUAUGUUUGUUCUUCAUGCUCUGGUUCACAAAGCCCCACCUUGAUGUCUUUUUCUAGAUUAUGUCUUCCCUCUUCUGCCUAAAAACCAUCCAUCCAGCCUAAGCUGUUAAUCUUUCCUUCCCAUUUUAUACUCUCUCAGGAAUGAUCUCCUUUCUUAUCCACGAUCUUUCUACUGUCUGGGUCUAAACCCAUCAUCUGAGCUAAAAGCUGCAGUUUCCAAGGCACAGAGAUGAGACCUUGUACCUUUUUACCUUUAUGAAUAGCUCCACUUCUCAAGGAUAUGUUUUGUUAUUUUGUUUUUUUUGGGGGGGGAUCACAAAGGAACCUGUAUGACACUGUGUCAUUUGGGUUUCAACACACAUCAGACAGAAGAAAG
Non-coding RNA from Coturnix japonica (Japanese quail), 2743 nucleotides. NCBI's taxonomy places the organism in Eukaryota, Metazoa, Chordata, Aves, Galliformes, Phasianidae. The record is from RefSeq and is a predicted model, not a curated record.